This 355-nucleotide ribosomal RNA is filed under the name uncultured archaeon. Its description in RNAcentral is "bacterial SSU rRNA". It matches the Rfam family "Archaeal small subunit ribosomal RNA", at positions 459 to 814 of the family's 1478-position model. The record is from RNAcentral.
CAGCCGCCGCGGUAAUACCAGCUCUCCGAGUAGUGUGGACGUUUAUUGGGCCUAAAGCAUCCGUAGCUUGCUAGAUAAGUCCUCUGUUAAAUCCACCGAUUCAAUCGUUGGAUUGCGGGGGAUACUGUUUGGCUAGGGGACGGGAGAGGUCGACGGUAUUUCCGGGGUAGGGGUGAAAUCCUAUAAUCCCGGGAAGACCACCAGUGGCGAAGGCUGUCGACUAGAACGCGCCCGACGGUGAGGGAUGAAAGCUGGGGGAGCGAACCGGAUUAGAUACCCGGGUAGUCCCAGCUGUAAACGAUGCAGGCUAGGUGUUUGGGCGGCCACGAGCCGCCCUAGUGCCGCAGGGAAGCCG